This 254-nucleotide ribosomal RNA is filed under the name uncultured bacterium. RNAcentral describes it as "partial 16S ribosomal RNA". It matches the Rfam family "Bacterial small subunit ribosomal RNA", at positions 524 to 776 of the family's 1533-position model. The record is from RNAcentral.
CACGUAGGGUGCGAGCGUUGUCCGGAAUUAUUGGGCGUAAAGAGCUCGUAGGCGGUGUGUCGCGUCGGCCGUGAAAACCUGCAGCUUAACUGUGGGCUUGCGGUCGAUACGGGCAUCACUGGAGUUCGGCAGGGGAGACUGGAAUUCCUGGUGUAGCGGUGAAAUGCGCAGAUAUCAGGAGGAACACCGGUGGCGAAGGCGGGUCUCUGGGCUGAUACUGACGCUGAGGAGCGAAAGCGUGGGGAGCGAACAGG